Molecule: long non-coding RNA, 948 nt
Organism: Orbicella faveolata
Lineage: Eukaryota; Metazoa; Cnidaria; Anthozoa; Scleractinia; Merulinidae
Source: RefSeq, a predicted model, not a curated record
UGCACAGAUUGUCCAAUCAGAAGGCUUGUUUCCUGAGCAACUUCACUGACAAUAUGCCGAAGCCUGCCGACCUCAAGAAACUUCUUGAUAUGGGCUCUUCACAGAAAAAGCCUGAAAAUAGAAAGUACGACUAUGUAGUUGAUGGCGCUGUUAAUGAUCGCUCGUUUCUGAGUGAUGAAAUGGCUGACCUGUGUUCCAAGCUGCCUAUCUAUCGCGUCAAGACUGUACUGGCGGAGGAACCUCCGAAACGACAAAAGCGCCGAACUUGUUGGUAUCGGGUAACAACAAUCACAAUCUGCAAUGGUAACGGCUGCCUUAUAAUAAGGAUUUAUAGGUUGAUAGGAUGCUGGUGAACAAAACCUCCUGACUCACUUGUAUAACCGCAAGAUAUUUUGAAGGUGGUUAGAGACAGGUCUCAUAGUACUUGCGUACCUCGUUUAGUGUUACUUUCAAGUGUUUAACUUCUGAGAGCAUCAUUUGAUUGGAACUUCGGUGCCCUUAAUUUUGUUUCGCAGAAACGGCUUUUAGAUUCCUUACGGAGUAAAUAUAGUUUAAAUCUUGAAAGCUAUUACAAAAUAAGAGCAAUCAGAAUAACUGAUGACCUGGAUUACUGCUGCAACUAACCAUGAGAACAUAAUGCAGAAACUGAGAAACGAGUUUUGUCAAAAUAAAAACUUGAAACAACUAACGAUGCUUUCAGUCCCAGGCUGAUGCGAAAUGUUCUUUCCAGGUUCAUCGCAAAAUUAAGAAUCGAUCUUUUUAAUCUAUACAGAGUAAUUAACUCGCUGCUUCAAAUCAUGUUUUCUGUUUAGUUGCGCCGCGUCUAAGGUCCGUUAAGUAGCAAAAUUAUAAACGAAAAGAUUUUUCGAAGAAGCUUUUGAUUUUGAUGUGUGUAAUAAACAGUUGUAGAGGAAGUAGCUAUAAAUAAAGCCACUUGCUUGGGGAAGA